This 386-nucleotide long non-coding RNA is filed under the name Salmo salar (Atlantic salmon). Its description in RNAcentral is "lncRNA (ENSSSAG00000092095.1)". Lineage: Eukaryota; Metazoa; Chordata; Actinopteri; Salmoniformes; Salmonidae. The record is from RNAcentral.
CACAGUCUGGAGUUACACAGACAACCCCAACUUCAACACAGGUUCACCUGGCCGUGCUGCUGCUCCAGUUCCAACUGUUCUGCCUGCAGCUAUGGAACCCUGACCUGUUCACCGGACGUGCUACCUGUCCCAGACCUGUUGUCCCAGACCUGCUGGAACCCUGACCUAUUCACCGGACGUGCUACCUGUCCCAGACCUGCUGUUUUCAACUCUCUAGAGACAGCAGGAGUGGUAGAGAUACUCUCAAAGAUCGGCUAUGAAAAAGCCAACUGACACUUACUCUUGUGUUACUGACUUGUUGCACCCUCGACAACUACUAUGAUUAUUAUUAUUUGACAAUGCUGGUAAUUUAUGAACAUUUGAACAUCUAGGCCAUGUGCUGUUAU